This 305-nucleotide ribosomal RNA is filed under the name uncultured bacterium. Its description in RNAcentral is "bacterial SSU rRNA". It matches the Rfam family "Bacterial small subunit ribosomal RNA", at positions 333 to 654 of the family's 1533-position model. The record is from RNAcentral.
AGACCCCUACGGGACGCAGCAGUGGGGAAUAUUGCACAAUGGGGGAAACCCUGAUGCAGCGACGCCGCGUGGGCGAGGAAGUACCUCGGUAUGUAAAGCCCUAUCAGCAGGGAAGAAACAGGACAGUACCUGACUAAGAAGCCCCGGCUAACUACGUGCCAGCAGCCGCGGUAAUACGUAGGGGGCAAGCGUUAUCCGGAUUUACUGGGUGUAAAGGGAGCGUAGGCGGCCUGGCAAGCCUGAUGUGAAAUACCGGGGCCCAACCCCGGGGCUGCAUUGGGAACUGCCAGGCUGGAGUGCCGGAG